This 301-nucleotide ribosomal RNA is filed under the name uncultured bacterium. Its description in RNAcentral is "partial 16S ribosomal RNA". It matches the Rfam family "Bacterial small subunit ribosomal RNA", at positions 509 to 807 of the family's 1533-position model. The record is from RNAcentral.
CAGCCGCCACGGUAAUACGGAGGAUCCAAGCGUUAUCCGGAUUUAUUGGGUUUAAAGGGUGCGUAGGUGGCCUGUUAAGUCAGGGGUGAAAGACGGUAGCUUAACUAUCGCAGUGCCCUUGAUACUGAUGGGCUUGAAUGAACUAGAGGUAGGCGGAAUGUGACAAGUAGCGGUGAUAUGCAUAGAUAUGUCUCAGAACACCAAUUGCGAAGGCAGCUUACUAUGGUUUUAUUGACACUGAGGCACGAAAGCGUGGGGAUCAAACAGGAUUAGAUACCCGUGUAGUCCCUGUCUCUUAUAC